CGGCGGACGGGUGAGUAACGCGUGGGUAACCUGCCUCAUACAGGGGGAUAACAGUUAGAAAUGACUGCUAAUACCGCAUAAGACCACAGCACCGCAUGGUGCGGGGGUAAAAACUCCGGUGGUAUGAGAUGGACCCGCGUCUGAUUAGCUGGUUGGUAAGGUAACGGCUUACCAAGGCGACGAUCAGUAGCCGACCUGAGAGGGUGACCGGCCGCAUUGGGACUGAGACACGGCCCAA
This 238-nucleotide ribosomal RNA is filed under the name uncultured bacterium. RNAcentral describes it as "partial 16S ribosomal RNA". It matches the Rfam family "Bacterial small subunit ribosomal RNA", at positions 96 to 334 of the family's 1533-position model. The record is from RNAcentral.